Cucurbita maxima (winter squash) is the source of this 296-nucleotide long non-coding RNA. RefSeq lists it as uncharacterized. The transcript is spliced from 2 exons. The record is from RefSeq and is a predicted model, not a curated record. Lineage: Eukaryota; Viridiplantae; Streptophyta; Magnoliopsida; Cucurbitales; Cucurbitaceae.
AUUAACACGACCUCAUUCUGUUCAUCGAAGAAAAUGCAGGUGGUGUUGACAAUGAGGACUAGAUGGAGCAGUCGAAGCAAGGGUGUGCACGAGUUGCUAGGCUUCAGGGGUUCAAGAUAGAUCAGUGUCUCGUAUUUCUCAAAUCCUAUGUUUAUAUGAAUCUAGUUAUGUUAUAUUCUCUAUUAGUUGUCUAUCAUUUCGAAAUUGUGCUUAGUUGUAUUUCGAAUGCUUCGAUGUCCUGUACUUUUUGAUUUGACAUUCGUUAAAUGCAUGAAGAUUUUAAAAGUUUUAAAUUA